RNAcentral lists this ribosomal RNA (319 nucleotides) under uncultured Pseudomonadota bacterium. Its description in RNAcentral is "bacterial SSU rRNA". It matches the Rfam family "Bacterial small subunit ribosomal RNA", at positions 30 to 351 of the family's 1533-position model. Lineage: Bacteria; Pseudomonadati; Pseudomonadota. The record is from RNAcentral.
AUUGAACGCUGGCGGCAUGCUUUACACAUGCAAGUCGAACGGGGUGAGGGGGCAACUCUUCAUUCAGUGGCGAACGGGUGAGUAAUGCAUCGGAACGUAUCCCGUAGUGGGGGACAACGCCGCGAAAGCGGCGCUAAUACCGCAUAUGCUCUACGGAGGAAAGUGGGGGACCGCAAGGCCUCACGCUAUGGGAGCGGCCGAUGUCCGAUUAGCUAGUUGGUGGGGUAAUGGCCCACCAAGGCGACGAUCGGUAGCUGGUCUGAGAGGAUGAUCAGCCACACUGGGACUGAGACACGGCCCAGACUCCUACGGGAGGCAG